RNAcentral lists this long non-coding RNA (1464 nucleotides) under Taeniopygia guttata (zebra finch). RNAcentral describes it as "lncRNA (ENSTGUG00000027013.1)". Lineage: Eukaryota; Metazoa; Chordata; Aves; Passeriformes; Estrildidae. The record is from RNAcentral.
UGUGGAAUGGUGCAGUGAAAGUACAUCUCUUGGGGCACUAAGAGGUGGUUCUGCAACUGUGAGGAGAAAUGAGAAAGGAACAACACAGCCAGCAGUUCUCUUGGCAAACCUCAGUUUUAACUAGAGUGUUUGCUAUGCCAGAGGCAAGGUGGCAAUCACACCAUUUCCUUACCUCGCAGGGGUGUGAGCUGUCAAAGUGCUUUAUAAAAAGCAGCUCAGCUAAGCAACUCUCACCCUCUACAAUUUGGUUUUGUUUGCUUCCCAACCUGGAAAUGGGCAUCUCUUGUCUUUAUUUAAUUUCCAAGUCAAGUCUGAAAAGAAAAAUGCUUGUAGAAAAAUCCUGUAAUUACCAGAUCUGAUUUUCAUUUUAACCUUUGCUUCAUUCAUAUGGUACCAACAACUUCAGAAAUUCAAUUAAACUAAUGUAAUUACAAUUUAUAUGGAAGAGUGAGUGGGAAAGUCUUUAAGUGGGCACAUGUAUGAUAGACUGUAUGUCCAUAAGAGAAAAAAAUGUACUUACAGGAUCAAUACAGAGUCAUAGGAACGGUAAUAUAUGAACCAGCUUUCCUGAAGAACCCAGCCUCCAUUUGGGCAUUAAAAUAAGUGGCUAGAUUUUCAAAACUCCCUAGCUUCCACCAUGCUGAGCAAUUUUGAUUAUCUGGCCAUAAAAAUGUCUCAGUGAGAACUGCUGGGUGCCAAGCACUUUUGGAAAUCUGGGCUCAAUUGUGGGCUCUGAGCAUUUGAGAAACCACUAGCUCCAAAUGUAAAUAGUGGUUGUAUAAAGCAACGGGCGAAUGUCAUAUAAGAAGCAUAUAUGUGUCUGAAAGUAUGUGUAUUUUCUUAGCUUCCCUUAAACAUCUAAUCUGCAUCCUACUCCUGCAUGUUACCAUGCAAAAAGACACAAUCAUGUUGCAAGUCUUUCUUCUGAAAUGAAAACAAACCUCAACAUUUAACUAUGUCCUAAAUAAGUUCUGCUUCAAUGCAUAAUCUCACAGGAAAACUAUGAGGAUCCUCCUUAAUUUUCUGUAUUCAUCCAAAUUAUGCAGGAUGGUACCAACAGAGGAUAAACUUACUUACCAUUGCAGGAGGAGUCAAAAAGUCAUUAAGAGCUAGAGUAUGAUAGACAAGUUCAUCACACAUCUGAAAGAGACACUUCCUUUUCAAUCCCACCAGAAAAAGCAAAUACACAAAGUAAAUUAUAUGAUUGGAAACAACAAACACUGAAGUCUAACACACUAGUGAGUGCAUGUUUAUGAGCCAAGCAAGACCUGCACCACUGCUCUUUUUAGCCACCAUAAGCCUGUGUGGAUUGUCUUUGCAGUUACCUGGUUGCCUAAGACACCAGCUCACCACAGCUCAACUUCUCUGGACAGGUCUGGUAAAGCCAACUUCUUCAGCAGUGACAUUUAAAACUUGUCAGUCAUCACUCCUUUGUUCGGAGCUAUUUAAUCAAAAUGGAACAGA